This 230-nucleotide ribosomal RNA is filed under the name uncultured bacterium. RNAcentral's name for it is "partial 16S ribosomal RNA". It matches the Rfam family "Bacterial small subunit ribosomal RNA", at positions 562 to 790 of the family's 1533-position model. The record is from RNAcentral.
AAAGCGUGCGCAGGCGGUUAUGUAAGACAGAUGUGAAAUCCCCGGGCUCAACCUGGGAACUGCAUUUGUGACUGCAUGGCUAGAGUACGGUAGAGGGGGAUGGAAUUCCGCGUGUAGCAGUGAAAUGCGUAGAUAUGCGGAGGAACACCGAUGGCGAAGGCAAUCCCCUCGGACCUGUACUGACGCUCAUGCACGAAAGCGUGGGGAGCAAACAGGAUUAGAUACCCAGU